RNAcentral lists this transfer RNA (84 nucleotides) under Saprospirales bacterium. Its description in RNAcentral is "tRNA-Leu". It matches the Rfam family "tRNA". Rfam says of the family: Transfer RNA (tRNA) molecules are approximately 80 nucleotides in length. Their secondary structure includes four short double-helical elements and three loops (D, anti-codon, and T loops). Lineage: Bacteria; Pseudomonadati; Bacteroidota; Saprospiria; Saprospirales. The record is from RNAcentral.
GCCCGGGUGGUGGAAUUGGUAGACACGCAGGACUUAAAAUCCUGUGGCCUUUGGGUCGUGCGGGUUCAAGUCCCGCCCCGGGCA